AUAUAUAUAUAUAUAUAUAUAACAAUAAUUUUUGGAAAAAAUGAUCCUCUAAUAGAGAUUAAAAGAUUAAGUUACUUUAGGGAUAACAGCGUAAUCUUCUUUGAAAGUUCAUAUCGACAAGAAGGGUUGCGACCUCGAUGUUGAAUUAAGGUUUCUUUGUGGUGCAGCGGUCAUAAUGAGAAGGUCUGUUCGACCUUUAAUUCCUUACAUGAUCUGAUUCAGACCGGAAAAUUGUUUGUUUAA
Molecule: ribosomal RNA, 243 nt
Filed under: Parapenaeopsis stylifera
Lineage: Eukaryota; Metazoa; Arthropoda; Malacostraca; Decapoda; Penaeidae
Description: partial 16S ribosomal RNA
Rfam family: Bacterial large subunit ribosomal RNA
Source: RNAcentral